CUACGGGUCGCUGCAGUGAGGAAUUUUGCGCAAUGGGGGAAACCCUGACGCAGCAACGCCGCGUGAGUGAAGAAGGCCUUCGGGUCGUAAAGCUCUGUCAGGUGGGAAAAAGGUACUGAGGUUAAGAGCUACAGGGCUUGAUGGUACCACCAGAGGAAGCACCGGCUAACUCCGUGCCAGCAGCCGCGGUAAUACGGAGGUGCGAGCGUGUGUUCGGAAUUACUGGGCGUAAAGGGCGUGUAGGCGGUUUGACAAGUCGAUGUGAAAGCCUGGGGCUCAACCCCAGAAGUGCAUUUGAAACUGUCAAACUAGAGUAUGGGAGAGGAGAGUGGAAUUCCCGGUGUAGAGGUGAAAUUCGUAGAUAUCGGGAGGAACAUCCGUGGCGAAGGCGGCUCUCUGGACCAAUACUGACGCUGAGACGCGAAAGCGUGGGGAGCAAACAGGAUUAGAUACCCGGGUAGUC
This 463-nucleotide ribosomal RNA is filed under the name uncultured bacterium. RNAcentral's name for it is "partial 16S ribosomal RNA". It matches the Rfam family "Bacterial small subunit ribosomal RNA", at positions 339 to 795 of the family's 1533-position model. The record is from RNAcentral.